Molecule: transfer RNA, 59 nt
Filed under: Marmota marmota marmota (Alpine marmot)
Lineage: Eukaryota; Metazoa; Chordata; Mammalia; Rodentia; Sciuridae
Also listed under: 3 other names
Rfam family: tRNA
About the family: Transfer RNA (tRNA) molecules are approximately 80 nucleotides in length. Their secondary structure includes four short double-helical elements and three loops (D, anti-codon, and T loops). Further hydrogen bonds mediate the characteristic L-shaped molecular structure. tRNAs have two regions of fundamental functional importance: the anti-codon, which is responsible for specific mRNA codon recognition, and the 3' end, to which the tRNAs corresponding amino acid is attached (by aminoacyl-tRNA synthetases). tRNAs cope with the degeneracy of the genetic code in two manners: having more than one tRNA (with a specific anti-codon) for a particular amino acid; and 'wobble' base-pairing, i.e. permitting non-standard base-pairing at the 3rd anti-codon position.
Source: Rfam by way of RNAcentral
UGGUUCAGUAAAGAAGAGCGCUUGCCUGGCAUGCAGGAGGCCCUGGGUUCAAUCCCCAG